RNAcentral lists this long non-coding RNA (2582 nucleotides) under Equus caballus (horse). Its description in RNAcentral is "lncRNA (ENSECAG00000044882.1)". Lineage: Eukaryota; Metazoa; Chordata; Mammalia; Perissodactyla; Equidae. The record is from RNAcentral.
AUUCCAUACUGUAAUAAACCAGUAACUAAUGAAAGAAGACAUAAUUAUGUUAUUUUAUAUCCAGUAAUUAAAUAUGAAACUUAUAAUUAUAAAAAAAUACUGGUUUACUAUAAACCCUGAAGUCAAUAACAUUUUGUGAAACAACUCUUUAUUGUGUUAUUUGAGUUGGAGGUAAAUUGUGUUAAGGAGUUUUAAGAAAUCUUCCUUUAUCUCCAAAGACUCUGUAUUUCAACAAGAAAUGCUUUAAAAAUUUUUAACUACUCUGUACAUGAAUUAAUUGUGCUAACACAUGUCCAAAAGUAACCUCCUUCCUUUAUAUUUUGGUCCCAGAUAAAGUAAUAAUUCACAACUUUAAAUUAUACAAAAGAACUAAUGCUCUUCUUCAGUUUGUGUGCAUCUAACAGCCCAUCUUAAUAAAGGAGCUAAUGAACACCUGAUGGCAUGGUGCAGCAUAAACAGAAGGAGGAAUGUAACAGGCUCACUAAUCAUGGAGUAAAUCUUUUUUUGUGGAAAACAAGAAAAUGCAAAAUCAUAGAAUGGCUGCAUCUUGACUAGAGAGGAAAAAAUGGCUUCUCUCCUAUCAAUUAGAGGAAGUUAGAUUAAGACCCCUAACCCCGUCAAAGACAAACAACUUAAAAUGCUUGAGUACUUUAUUACUAGAGACUUUCCGUUUAGAUGCUGCAGUUUAAGAUUCUUAAAGGAAGAGCUAUACUUUAGAGCUCAUGAGAAGUCUCCCUUUUCAUCACUGGGGAGUGUUCAUUUAUAACUGCUUCCCAUCGAGGUCCUUGUGGUGGGAUAUGACCAAUAUUAAUUGCUUUAGUGCUUUUCUCUCAAUAUUCCUGAGAAACCUAACAAACCUUUAGGGACAGCCCACAGUGUGCUCUCCCUGCCUCACAUCCAGUCAGUCCCUGGACUCAGCCUUCCCACUUCCCAGUCCCCAGAACCACUUCAAGGUACAGGCCACAGCCACUUCUCUUAGUGGCCUCUCCUUACUCCUUGCCCUCCUUUGUCCCUACCCUACGUCAGUUCUCUAUAUUCUGCUCAGAGAGAUUGUCUUCAAAUGUGAGCGUGGUUCUGUUGUUUCCAAUCCUUUGAGCACGUCUAUAAAUUCCUUCGUAACAUUGCCUCCCUUCCCACUAUUCCUGCCACCUUCUCAAGCCUGUUCUUCAUUCCAGGCUUUUGUUCAUUCAGUACCCUCUUCCAGGAAGUCUCUUCACCAGCAUCCCCCGUGUCCUGCCCCUGGAUAAUCCCUGCUUGUUUGUGAGGUCUGUGCUUAGAUGCUGCUUCCUCCAAGUCACCUUCGCAGAUCCUGAAAAUCUGAAUUCCCCUAGCAUUCCUCUCCCUGUAGCAGUGACCAUGGUAAAUUACCAUUCCAUUUUUGCUUUUCUGAAAACUUCUACAGGCUACAAACAACUUGAAGGCAGGGCCUCUUGUCUGUUUCAUUCACUGUUGCAUUCCCAGGGCCUAGCACAGUGCCUGGCUCAGAGUAGGCACUGAAUGUGUACUUGUGGAAUGAAUGAAGGAAGACAGACAGACCAGCAUGCAGAUACACAAUGGUGCUUUUGGCAGAGCUCCUAUCUUUGAAGAGCUUAUAGUCUGUUUUACUUUCUGUACAUUGGAAGACUAUGUGGGAUAAUACAAAGAACACACUUUUCAAUUACAUCUGGAUUUAUAUCCCAGCUUUACAAUUUACCAGCCCUGUGAAUUUGAGUAAUUUAUCCAACCUUCCUGAGACUUAACAUAUGAAUUGGUAUAGGGAUGAAAGAUGUCUACCUCAUGGAAUUCUUGUAAGUGCUAAAAUAAGAUAUGUUAAACAUGUGCUAUAAUAAACACACAAUAAUGUUGGCUUCCUUCCUUCCCAACAUGCAGCUCUACUUCUACUUAAUAUCAAUCUCUGCUCACCUUUCCAGUGGACUCAAGAUGAUCCUCCUUCAUGUAUGUGAUCACACAAUUUUAAAAAUCAUAUUGAGAAAAGGAGCCCUGACUGAUACACUGUGAGAACAGAGGAAGGAAAUCUUUGAGGAAUCCAGAAAGACUUCACAGAGGAAGUGGCACUUGAGUUGAGAAGUAGGAGGUCCUGAGAAGAUGGGAGAAAAGAUUAAGUUGGCUGGAACAUAAGUGGAGAUUUCCAGAGGCUACAUAAAAUGAGAUGAUGUCAUCACUCUGGUGGCUAACAGAAUGUCACACGGUGAGAGAGAGACUGAGAGAGAGAGAGAAAGAGAGAGAGAGAAAGAGAGAGAGAGAGAUGUUCGGCCAGCCCAAGCUGUUCCAGCCAUCCCAAGUGUAAAGAAACAAGCCAACCAAGACAUCAAGACCAGUCAAGUCUUCAAAUAACUCCAACACCAACCAUUAUCUGUAAAUACAUGAGAGACCCUCCACGAGAACCGCCCAGCUGAGCCCAGUCAGCCCACAGAACUAUUAGAGAUCACGAUGAAUUAUAGUGUUAAGGCAUUAAGUUUUGGAGUGGUUUGUUAUACAGCAAUAGAUAGUCACAACACUGUUACAUUAACUCCUAUUUCUUCAGCACCUAGCAUGAGCUGUCAUACUUGGUAUAGUGUAGUUGACCAGAAAACACAAUAAGU